RNAcentral lists this long non-coding RNA (206 nucleotides) under Elaeis guineensis (African oil palm). Its description in RNAcentral is "long non-coding RNA (EGUI_LNC029882)". The record is from RNAcentral. Lineage: Eukaryota; Viridiplantae; Streptophyta; Magnoliopsida; Arecales; Arecaceae.
GAGGAAAUCAUGGAGCAGAAAAUUAACUCCACAUAGUUGAAUGGUUUGAAGGCUUCAGGAUGGUUUGGAAAUAAAAAUAUUGCAAUUCGAUUCACAAGGUUUAUUGAUCCGAAUUGUAUUUGUAUGUUUAACAGGUUGAGGAGCUGAUGUUCCAGUUGGACCACAUUACUGUUUCAGUUAUAUGCAGGGUGAGUUCCUUCCAUCAC